This 291-nucleotide unclassified non-coding RNA is filed under the name uncultured fungus. RNAcentral describes it as "partial contains 5.8S ribosomal RNA, internal transcribed spacer 2, and large subunit ribosomal RNA". The stretch from base 1 to 52 matches the Rfam family "5.8S ribosomal RNA", at positions 103 to 154 of the family's 154-position model. The record is from RNAcentral. Lineage: Eukaryota; Fungi.
AACGCACCUUGCGCCCCGUGGUAUUCCGCGGGGCAUGCCUGUUUGAGUGUCACGUGAAACCUCGCCGGGAGCAUGUCAAAGUGCUCCGCGGUGGACUUGGACCGUGCCGUAGCCGGCUCGUCCUGAAAUGCAUUAGCCGGGUCUUGGUACCGCUGCGGCCGUGGUGUGAUAAUCCAUCUGCGCCUGUAAGUGCCUUGCGGUUCCGUCGGACCGGGCUCACAGUCGUCCCUCGAGGACAAUGACCACUGACAGUUUGGCCUCAAAUCAGGUAGGACUACCCGCUGAACUUAA